RNAcentral lists this ribosomal RNA (218 nucleotides) under uncultured bacterium. RNAcentral's name for it is "partial 16S ribosomal RNA". It matches the Rfam family "Bacterial small subunit ribosomal RNA", at positions 113 to 334 of the family's 1533-position model. The record is from RNAcentral.
UAGUAUGGGGAUCUGCCCGAUAGAGGGGAAUAACUACUGGAAACGGUGGCUGAUACCGCAUAAUGUCUACGGACCAAAGCAGGGGCUCUUCGGACCUUGCACUAUCGGAUGAACCCAUAUGGGAUUAGCUAGUAGGUGGGGUAAAGGCUCACCUAGGCGACGAUCUCUAGCUGGUCUGAGAGGAUGAUCAGCCACACUGGGACUGAGACACGGCCCAG